AAGGGCGACCUGAAAACACACAUGAUAAUUCAUACAGGGCAAAAAGCAUUUGUCUGUUCUGAGUGUGGUCAAAGAUUUAGAGAAAAGGGCACCCUGCACAGACACAUGAUAAGUCAUACAGGGCAAAAAGCAUUAGUCUGUUCUGAAUGUGGUCAAAGGUUUGGACGAAAGGACAACCUGAAAACACACAUGAUAAUUCAUACAGGACAAAAAGCAUUUGUCUGUUCUGACUGUGGUAAAAGAUUUAGAGAAAAGGGCACCCUGAAAACACAUAUGAUGAUUCAUACCAGACACACCAUUUAGCUGUUCUGAUCAGAGUAAAAGACAGAAACAGAAAGGUACUCUGAACAAACACAUGAUAAUUCAUAGUCAUUCACUGCCCCCCC
Thalassophryne amazonica is the source of this 386-nucleotide long non-coding RNA. RefSeq lists it as uncharacterized. The record is from RefSeq and is a predicted model, not a curated record. NCBI's taxonomy places the organism in Eukaryota, Metazoa, Chordata, Actinopteri, Batrachoidiformes, Batrachoididae. The transcript has 2 exons.